Molecule: ribosomal RNA, 378 nt
Filed under: uncultured eukaryote
Lineage: Eukaryota
Description: partial 18S ribosomal RNA
Rfam family: Eukaryotic small subunit ribosomal RNA
Source: RNAcentral
CAAUAGCGUAUAUUUAAGUUGCUGCAGUUAAAAAGCUCGUAGUUGGAUUUCGGGUGGGAAUGGCCGGUCCGCCGUUUCGGUGUGCACUUGCUACGCCCACCUUGCUGCCGGGGACGUGCUCUUGAGUUCACGCUCGGGACACGGAGUCGGCGAGGUUACUUUGAGUAAAUUAGAGUGUUCAAAGCAGGCCUACGCUCUGAAUACAUUAGCAUGGAAUAACGCGAUAGGACUCUGGCCUAUCUUGUUGGUCUGUAGGACCGGAGUAAUGAUUAAGAGGGACAGUCGGGGGGCAUUCGUAUUUCAUUGUCAGAGGUGAAAUUCUUGGAUUUAUGAAAGACGAACUACUGCGAAAGCAUUUGCCAAGGAUGUUUUCAUUAA